CGCUGGCGGCGUGCUUAACACAUGCAAGUCGAACGAUGAUGACUGAAGCUUGCUUUGGUUUGAUUAGUGGCGAACGGGUGAGUAACACGUGAGUAACCUGCCCCUCACUUCGGGAUAACCAUUGGAAACGGUGGCUAAUACUGGAUAUGACACAUGGCUGCGUGGUCUGUGUGUGGAAAGAAUUUUGGUGGGGGAUGGGCUCGCGGCCUAUCAGCUUGUUGGUGGGGUGAUGGCCUACCAAGGCUUUGACGGGUAGCCGGCCUGAGAGGGCGACCGGCCACACUGGGACUGAGACACGGCCCAGACUCCUACGGGAGGCAGCAGUGGGGAAUAUUGCACAAUGGGGGAAACCCUGAUGCAGCGACGCCGCGUGGGGGAUGAAGGCCUUCGGGUUGUAAACCCCUUUCAGUAGGGAACAAGGCCAUGAUUGUUGUUGUGGUUGAGGGUACUUGCAGAAGAACCGCCGGCUAACUACGUGCCAGCAGCCGCGGUAAUACGUAGGGCGCAAGCGUUGUCCGGAAUUAUUGGGCGUAAAGAGCUCGUAGGCGGUUUGUCGCGUCUGCCGUGAAAACCCGAUGCUUAACAUCGGGCUUGCGGUGGGUACGGGCAGGCUAGAGUGCGGUAGGGGUGACUGGAAUUCCUGGUGUAGCGGUGGAAUGCGCAGAUAUCAGGAGGAACACCGAUGGAGAAGGCAGGUCACUGGGCCGUUACUGACGCUGAGGAGCGAAAGCAUGGGGAGCGAACAGGAUUAGAUACCCUGGUAGUCCAUGCCGUAAACGUUGGGCACUAGGUGUGGGGAUUGUUCCACCAUUCCUGUACCGUAGAUAACGCAUUAAGUGCCCCGCCUGGGGAGUACGGCCGCAAGGCUAAAACUCAAAGGAAUUGACGGGGGCCCGCACAAGCGGCGGAGCAUGCGGAUUAAUUCGAUGCAACGCGAAGAACCUUACCAAGGCUUGACAUACACCGGAACGCUCAGAGAUGGGUAGGUCUUCGGACUGGUGUACAGGUGGUGCAUGGUUGUCGUCAGCUCGUGUCGUGAGAUG
This 1043-nucleotide ribosomal RNA is filed under the name Jonesia sp. SC06. Its description in RNAcentral is "bacterial SSU rRNA". It matches the Rfam family "Bacterial small subunit ribosomal RNA", at positions 34 to 1074 of the family's 1533-position model. The record is from RNAcentral. Lineage: Bacteria; Bacillati; Actinomycetota; Actinomycetes; Micrococcales; Jonesiaceae.